CCCCAGACUCCUACGGGAGGCAGCAGUGGGGAAUAUUGCACAAUGGGGGAAACCCUGAUGCAGCGACGCCGCGUGAGUGAAGAAGUAUUUCGGUAUGUAAAGCUCUAUCAGCAGGGAAGAAAAUGACGGUACCUGACUAAGAAGCCCCGGCUAACUACGUGCCAGCAGCCGCGGUAAUACGUAGGGGGCAAGCGUUAUCCGGAUUUACUGGGUGUAAAGGGAGCGUAGACGGCAUGGCAAGUCAGAUGUGAAAGCCCGGGGCUCAACCCCGGGACUGCAUUUGAAACUGUCAGGCUGGAGUGCAGGAGAGGUAAGUGGAAUUCCUAGUGUAGCGGUGAAAUGCGUAGAUAUUAGGAGGAACACCAGUGGCGAAGGCGGCUUACUGGACUGUAACUGACGUUGAGGCUCGAAAGCGUGGGGAGCAAACAGGAUUAGAUACCCUUGUAAA
RNAcentral lists this ribosomal RNA (448 nucleotides) under uncultured bacterium. RNAcentral's name for it is "bacterial SSU rRNA". It matches the Rfam family "Bacterial small subunit ribosomal RNA", at positions 329 to 794 of the family's 1533-position model. The record is from RNAcentral.